Molecule: ribosomal RNA, 2931 nt
Filed under: Escherichia coli
Lineage: Bacteria; Pseudomonadati; Pseudomonadota; Gammaproteobacteria; Enterobacterales; Enterobacteriaceae
Description: bacterial LSU rRNA
Rfam family: Bacterial large subunit ribosomal RNA
Source: RNAcentral
GGGUUGUGAGGUUAAGCGACUAAGCGUACACGGUGGAUGCCCUGGCAGUCAGAGGCGAUGAAGGACGUGCUAAUCUGCGAUAAGCGUCGGUAAGGUGAUAUGAACCGUUAUAACCGGCGAUUUCCGAAUGGGGAAACCCAGUGUGUUUCGACACACUAUCAUUAACUGAAUCCAUAGGUUAAUGAGGCGAACCGGGGGAACUGAAACAUCUAAGUACCCCGAGGAAAAGAAAUCAACCGAGAUUCCCCCAGUAGCGGCGAGCGAACGGGGAGCAGCCCAGAGCCUGAAUCAGUGUGUGUGUUAGUGGAAGCGUCUGGAAAGGCGCGCGAUACAGGGUGACAGCCCCGUACACAAAAAUGCACAUGCUGUGAGCUCGAUGAGUAGGGCGGGACACGUGGUAUCCUGUCUGAAUAUGGGGGGACCAUCCUCCAAGGCUAAAUACUCCUGACUGACCGAUAGUGAACCAGUACCGUGAGGGAAAGGCGAAAAGAACCCCGGCGAGGGGAGUGAAAAAGAACCUGAAACCGUGUACGUACAAGCAGUGGGAGCACGCUUAGGCGUGUGACUGCGUACCUUUUGUAUAAUGGGUCAGCGACUUAUAUUCUGUAGCAAGGUUAACCGAAUAGGGGAGCCGAAGGGAAACCGAGUCUUAACUGGGCGUUAAGUUGCAGGGUAUAGACCCGAAACCCGGUGAUCUAGCCAUGGGCAGGUUGAAGGUUGGGUAACACUAACUGGAGGACCGAACCGACUAAUGUUGAAAAAUUAGCGGAUGACUUGUGGCUGGGGGUGAAAGGCCAAUCAAACCGGGAGAUAGCUGGUUCUCCCCGAAAGCUAUUUAGGUAGCGCCUCGUGAAUUCAUCUCCGGGGGUAGAGCACUGUUUCGGCAAGGGGGUCAUCCCGACUUACCAACCCGAUGCAAACUGCGAAUACCGGAGAAUGUUAUCACGGGAGACACACGGCGGGUGCUAACGUCCGUCGUGAAGAGGGAAACAACCCAGACCGCCAGCUAAGGUCCCAAAGUCAUGGUUAAGUGGGAAACGAUGUGGGAAGGCUCAGACAGCCAGGAUGUUGGCUUAGAAGCAGCCAUCAUUUAAAGAAAGCGUAAUAGCUCACUGGUCGAGUCGGCCUGCGCGGAAGAUGUAACGGGGCUAAACCAUGCACCGAAGCUGCGGCAGCGACGCUUAUGCGUUGUUGGGUAGGGGAGCGUUCUGUAAGCCUGCGAAGAUGUGCUGUGAGGCAUGCUGGAGGUAUCAGAAGUGCGAAUGCUGACAUAAGUAACGAUAAAGCGGGUGAAAAGCCCGCUCGCCGGAAGACCAAGGGUUCCUGUCCAACGUUAAUCGGGGCAGGGUGAGUCGACCCCUAAGGCGAGGCCGAAAGGCGUAGUCGAUGGGAAACAGGUUAAUAUUCCUGUACUUGGUGUUACUGCGAAGGGGGGACGGAGAAGGCUAUGUUGGCCGGGCGACGGUUGUCCCGGUUUAAGCGUGUAGGCUGGUUUUCCAGGCAAAUCCGGAAAAUCAAGGCUGAGGCGUGAUGACGAGGCACUACGGUGCUGAAGCAACAAAUGCCCUGCUUCCAGGAAAAGCCUCUAAGCAUCAGGUAACAUCAAAUCGUACCCCAAACCGACACAGGUGGUCAGGUAGAGAAUACCAAGGCGCUUGAGAGAACUCGGGUGAAGGAACUAGGCAAAAUGGUGCCGUAACUUCGGGAGAAGGCACGCUGAUAUGUAGGUGAAGUCCCUUGCGGAUGGAGCUGAAAUCAGUCGAAGAUACCAGCUGGCUGCAACUGUUUAUUAAAAACACAGCACUGUGCAAACACGAAAGUGGACGUAUACGGUGUGACGCCUGCCCGGUGCCGGAAGGUUAAUUGAUGGGGUCAGCGCAAGCGAAGCUCUUGAUCGAAGCCCCGGUAAACGGCGGCCGUAACUAUAACGGUCCUAAGGUAGCGAAAUUCCUUGUCGGGUAAGUUCCGACCUGCACGAAUGGCGUAAUGAUGGCCAGGCUGUCUCCACCCGAGACUCAGUGAAAUUGAACUCGCUGUGAAGAUGCAGUGUACCCGCGGCAAGACGGAAAGACCCCGUGAACCUUUACUAUAGCUUGACACUGAACAUUGAGCCUUGAUGUGUAGGAUAGGUGGGAGGCUUUGAAGUGUGGACGCCAGUCUGCAUGGAGCCGACCUUGAAAUACCACCCUUUAAUGUUUGAUGUUCUAACGUUGACCCGUAAUCCGGGUUGCGGACAGUGUCUGGUGGGUAGUUUGACUGGGGCGGUCUCCUCCUAAAGAGUAACGGAGGAGCACGAAGGUUGGCUAAUCCUGGUCGGACAUCAGGAGGUUAGUGCAAUGGCAUAAGCCAGCUUGACUGCGAGCGUGACGGCGCGAGCAGGUGCGAAAGCAGGUCAUAGUGAUCCGGUGGUUCUGAAUGGAAGGGCCAUCGCUCAACGGAUAAAAGGUACUCCGGGGAUAACAGGCUGAUACCGCCCAAGAGUUCAUAUCGACGGCGGUGUUUGGCACCUCGAUGUCGGCUCAUCACAUCCUGGGGCUGAAGUAGGUCCCAAGGGUAUGGCUGUUCGCCAUUUAAAGUGGUACGCGAGCUGGGUUUAGAACGUCGUGAGACAGUUCGGUCCCUAUCUGCCGUGGGCGCUGGAGAACUGAGGGGGGCUGCUCCUAGUACGAGAGGACCGGAGUGGACGCAUCACUGGUGUUCGGGUUGUCAUGCCAAUGGCACUGCCCGGUAGCUAAAUGCGGAAGAGAUAAGUGCUGAAAGCAUCUAAGCACGAAACUUGCCCCGAGAUGAGUUCUCCCUGACUCCUUGAGAGUCCUGAAGGAACGUUGAAGACGACGACGUUGAUAGGCCGGGUGUGUAAGCGCAGCGAUGCGUUGAGCUAACCGGUACUAAUGAACCGUGAGGCUUAACCUUACAACGCCGAAGGUGUUU